RNAcentral lists this ribosomal RNA (517 nucleotides) under uncultured bacterium. Its description in RNAcentral is "bacterial SSU rRNA". It matches the Rfam family "Bacterial small subunit ribosomal RNA", at positions 9 to 521 of the family's 1533-position model. The record is from RNAcentral.
GAGUUUGAUCCUGGCUCAGGAUGAACGCUGGCGGCGUGCUUAACACAUGCAAGUCGAACGGGAAUGCCACGCUGAUGCGAUUUCGGUCAAAUCAUGUGGCAUUCGAGUGGCGGACGGGUGAGUAACGCGUGGGUAACCUGCCUUACACAGGGGGAUAACACCUGGAAACAGGUGCUAAUACCGCAUAAGCGCACAGGGCCGCAUGGCCCGGUGUGAAAAACUCCGGUGGUGUAAGAUGGACCCGCGUCUGAUUAGCUUGUUGGCGGGGUAGGGGCCCACCAAGGCGACGAUCAGUAGCCGGCCUGAGAGGGUGGACGGCCACAUUGGGACUGAGACACGGCCCAAACUCCUACGGGAGGCAGCAGUGGGGGAUAUUGGACAAUGGGGGAAACCCUGAUCCAGCGACGCCGCGUGAGUGAAGAAGUAUUUCGGUAUGUAAAGCUCUGUCAGCAGGGAAGAGAGAAAUGACGGUACCUGACCAAGAAGCCCCGGCUAACUACGUGCCAGCAGCCGCGGU